Small nucleolar RNA from Nycticebus coucang (slow loris), 141 nucleotides. RefSeq annotates it as small nucleolar RNA SNORA4. The transcript has a single exon. NCBI's taxonomy places the organism in Eukaryota, Metazoa, Chordata, Mammalia, Primates, Lorisidae. The record is from RefSeq and is a predicted model, not a curated record.
UUAUCAAAUUAAUUUGGUGGGAGAGAGGUGGCUAAAAUAACUUCUACCAGUUUGAGCUGUUUGGGAGGAUAAAGAAAAGGCCCCUCUCUACCGUGGGCUAUGCUGCUUAGUAUCAUUCACCACUAUUUUGUGGCCUAGAUU